Molecule: non-coding RNA, 30 nt
Filed under: Rattus norvegicus (Norway rat)
Lineage: Eukaryota; Metazoa; Chordata; Mammalia; Rodentia; Muridae
Source: RNAcentral
UAGACAGAAGUCUAAUAACGAGGCCGUGUC